UGGAGAGAGUAUUUUGGUGAUGUAGUUUCUAGAGCUCAUUUUCAUAUUGAUGACCCCAAUGCAUAUUAUUUUAAGAUUUUAACAGAAGCAUGCCAAGGUCAUUAGUCUAAAAGAAUCACACAACAUAAUAUUAUGCCAACAAAAAUUAUGAGAUAAAUUUUAAAAAAUAUUAACAUAUAAUCCUCCAUCCAAUUUUAAGUUUGACCAACUUUAUAUAAAAAAUAAUUAGUAUUUUAUUAUACAAAAUAAAUAUAUC
RNAcentral lists this long non-coding RNA (256 nucleotides) under Sorghum bicolor (sorghum). RNAcentral describes it as "long non-coding RNA (SBIC_LNC001671)". Lineage: Eukaryota; Viridiplantae; Streptophyta; Magnoliopsida; Poales; Poaceae. The record is from RNAcentral.